AGAGUUUGAUCAUGGCUCAGAUUGAACGCUGGCGGCAGGCCUAACACAUGCAAGUCGAACGGUAACAGGAAGCAGCUUGCUGCUUUGCUGACGAGUGGCGGACGGGUGAGUAAUGUCUGGGAAACUGCCUGAUGGAGGGGGAUAACUACUGGAAACGGUGGCUAAUACCGCAUAACGUCGCAAGACCAAAGAGGGGGACCUUCGGGCCUCUUGCCAUCAGAUGUGCCCAGAUGGGAUUAGCUUGUUGGUGAGGUAACGGCUCACCAAGGCGACGAUCCCUAGCUGGUCUGAGAGGAUGACCAGCCACACUGGAACUGAGACACGGUCCAGACUCCUACGGGAGGCAGCAGUGGGGAAUAUUGCACAAUGGGCGCAAGCCUGAUGCAGCCAUGCCGCGUGUAUGAAGAAGGCCUUCGGGUUGUAAAGUACUUUCAGCGGGGAGGAAGGUGUUGUGGUUAAUAACCGCAGCAAUUGACGUUACCCGCAGAAGAAGCACCGGCUAACUCCGUGCCAGCACGCGGUAAUACGGAGGGUGCAAGCGUUAAUCGGAAUUACUGGGCGUAAAGCGCACGCAGGCGGUCUGUCAAGUCGGAUGUGAAAUCCCCGGGCUCAACCUGGGAACUGCAUUCGAAACUGGCAGGCUUGAGUCUUGUAGAGGGGGGUAGAAUUCCAGGUGUAGCGGUGAAAUGCGUAGAGAUCUGGAGGAAUACCGGUGGCGAAGGCGGCCCCCUGGACAAAGACUGACGCUCAGGUGCGAAAGCGUGGGGAGCAAACAGGAUUAGAUACCCUGGUAGUCCACGCCGUAAACGAUGUCUACUUGGAGGUUGUGCCCUUGAGGCGUGGCUUCCGGAGCUAACGCGUUAAGUAGAUCGCCUGGGGAAUACGGCCGCAAGGUUAAAACUCAAAUGAAUUGACGGGGGCCCGCACAAGCGGUGGAGCAUGUGGUUUAAUUCGAUGCAACGCGAAGAACCUUACCUGGUCUUGACAUCCACAGAACUUUCCAGAGAUGGAUUGGUGCCUUCGGGAACUGUGAGACAGGUGCUGCAUGGCUGUCGUCAGCUCGUGUUGUGAAAUGUUGGGUUAAGUCCCGCAACGAGCGCAACCCUUAUCCUUUGUUGCCAGCGGUCCGGCCGGGAACUCAAAGGAGACUGCCAGUGAUAAACUGGAGGAAGGUGGGGAUGACGUCAAGUCAUCAUGGCCCUUACGACCAGGGCUACACACGUGCUACAAUGGCGCAUACAAAGAGAAGCGACCUCGCGAGAGCAAGCGGACCUCAUAAAGUGCGUCGUAGUCCGGAUUGGAGUCUGCAACUCGACUCCAUGAAGUCGGAAUCGCUAGUAAUCGUGGAUCAGAAUGCCACGGUGAAUACGUUCCCGGGCCUUGUACACACCGCCCGUCACACCAUGGGAGUGGGUUGCAAAAGAAGUAGGUAGCUUAACCUUCGGGGGGGCGCUUACCACUUUGUGAUUCAUGACUGGGGUGAAGUCGUAACAAGGUAACCGUAGGGGAACCUGCGGUUGGAUCACCU
Molecule: ribosomal RNA, 1528 nt
Filed under: Salmonella enterica subsp. enterica serovar Typhi
Lineage: Bacteria; Pseudomonadati; Pseudomonadota; Gammaproteobacteria; Enterobacterales; Enterobacteriaceae
Description: bacterial SSU rRNA
Rfam family: Bacterial small subunit ribosomal RNA
Source: RNAcentral